RNAcentral lists this ribosomal RNA (1294 nucleotides) under uncultured Actinomycetes bacterium. RNAcentral describes it as "bacterial SSU rRNA". It matches the Rfam family "Bacterial small subunit ribosomal RNA", at positions 64 to 1369 of the family's 1533-position model. Lineage: Bacteria; Bacillati; Actinomycetota; Actinomycetes. The record is from RNAcentral.
GAACGAUGAUCCGGUGCUUGCACCGGGAUUAGUGGCGAACGGGUGAGUAACACGUGAGUAACCUGCCCUUGACUCUGGGAUAAGCCUGGGAAACUGGGUCUAAUACCGGAUACGACCGCUCACCGCAUGGUGUGGUGGUGGAAAGCUUUUGCGGUUUUGGAUGGACUCGCGGCCUAUCAGCUUGUUGGUGGGGUAAUGGCCUACCAAGGCGACGACGGGUAGCCGGCCUGAGAGGGUGACCGGCCACACUGGGACUGAGACACGGCCCAGACUCCUACGGGAGGCAGCAGUGGGGAAUAUUGCACAAUGGGCGAAAGCCUGAUGCAGCGACGCCGCGUGAGGGAUGACGGCCUUCGGGUUGUAAACCUCUUUCAGUAGGGAAGAAGCGAAAGUGACGGUACCUGCAGAAGAAGCGCCGGCUAACUACGUGCCAGCAGCCGCGGUAAUACGUAGGGCGCAAGCGUUAUCCGGAAUUAUUGGGCGUAAAGAGCUCGUAGGCGGUUUGUCGCGUCUGCUGUGAAAGACCGGGGCUCAACUCCGGUUCUGCAGUGGGUACGGGCAGACUAGAGUGAUGUAGGGGAGACUGGAAUUCCUGGUGUAGCGGUGAAAUGCGCAGAUAUCAGGAGGAACACCGAUGGCGAAGGCAGGUCUCUGGGCAUUAACUGACGCUGAGGAGCGAAAGCAUGGGGAGCGAACAGGAUUAGAUACCCUGGUAGUCCAUGCCGUAAACGUUGGGCACUAGGUGUGGGGGACAUUCCACGUUUUCCGCGCCGUAGCUAACGCAUUAAGUGCCCCGCCUGGGGAGUACGGCCGCAAGGCUAAAACUCAAAGGAAUUGACGGGGGCCCGCACAAGCGGCGGAGCAUGCGGAUUAAUUCGAUGCAACGCGAAGAACCUUACCAAGGCUUGACAUGAACCGGUAACGCCUGGAAACAGGUGCCCCGCUUGCGGUCGGUUUACAGGUGGUGCAUGGUUGUCGUCAGCUCGUGUCGUGAGAUGUUGGGUUAAGUCCCGCAACGAGCGCAACCCUCGUUCUAUGUUGCCAGCGCGUGAUGGCGGGGACUCAUAGGAGACUGCCGGGGUCAACUCGGAGGAAGGUGGGGACGACGUCAAAUCAUCAUGCCCCUUAUGUCUUGGGCUUCACGCAUGCUACAAUGGCCGGUACAAAGGGUUGCGAUACUGUGAGGUGGAGCUAAUCCCAAAAAGCCGGUCUCAGUUCGGAUUGGGGUCUGCAACUCGACCCCAUGAAGUCGGAGUCGCUAGUAAUCGCAGAUCAGCAACGCUGCGGUGAAUAC